AUUGAACGCUAGCGGGAUGCCUUACACAUGCAAGUCGAACGGAGUGGCGAACGGGUGAGUAAUGUAUCGGAACGUGCCCAGUAGCGGGGGAUAACUACGCGAAAGCGUAGAUAAUACCGCAUACUAUUGGCGCGGCCGCGACCGGAUUAGCUAUUUGGUGGGGUAACGGCACACAAAGGCGAAGAUCCGUAGCUGGUUUGAGAGGACGACCAGCCACACGGGGACUGAGAAACGGCCCAGACUCCUACGGGAGGCAGCAGUGGGGAAUUUUGGACAAUGGGUGAAACCCUGAGCCAGCUAUUCCGCGUGUGCGAUGAAGGCCGUCGGGUUGUAAAGCACUUUUGGCAGGGAAGCGGUACCGGCAGAAGAAGCACCGGCUAACUACGUGCGAACAGCCGCGGUAAUUC
This 407-nucleotide ribosomal RNA is filed under the name uncultured bacterium. RNAcentral describes it as "partial 16S ribosomal RNA". It matches the Rfam family "Bacterial small subunit ribosomal RNA", at positions 30 to 526 of the family's 1533-position model. The record is from RNAcentral.